Molecule: ribosomal RNA, 882 nt
Filed under: uncultured archaeon
Lineage: Archaea
Description: bacterial SSU rRNA
Rfam family: Archaeal small subunit ribosomal RNA
Source: RNAcentral
CGUUCGACGAUUUUCCGGGUUGAUCCUGGCAGAGGUCACUGCUAUCGGGGUUCGAUUAAGCCAUGCGAGUCGAGAGGGUUCGGCCCUCGGCGUACUGCUCAGUAACACGUGGAUAACCUGCCCUAAGGAAGGGGAUAACCCCGGGAAACUGGGGAUAAUACCCUAUAGGUUACAGAUGCUGGAAUGCUCUGUAACCGAAAGCUCCGGCGCCUUAGGAUGGAUCUGCGGCCGAUUAGGUUGUUGUCGGGGUAACGGCCCAACAAGCCAGUAAUCGGUACGGGUUGUGGGAGCAAGAGCCCGGAGUUGGAUUCUGAGACACGAAUCCAGGCCCUACGGGGCGCAGCAGGCGCGAAAACUUUACAAUGCGGGCAGCCGUGAUAAGGGAACCUCGAGUGCCUGUAUAUGCAGGCUGUCUGGGUGUCUAAAACACACCUAAAGAAAGGGCCGGGCAAGACCGGUGCCAGCCGCCGCGGUAAUACCGGCGGCUCGAGUGGUGGCCACUUUUAUUGGGCUUAAAGCGUUCGUAGCUGGGUUAUUAAGUCCCUUGGGAAAUCCGACGGCUUAACCGUCGGGCGUCUAAGGGAUACUGGUAAUCUUGGAACCGGGAGAGGUGAGGGGUACUUCGGGGGUAGGAGUGAAAUCCUGUAAUCCUCGAGGGACCACCUGUGGCGAAGGCGCCUCACCAGAACGGCUUCGACAGUGAGGGACGAAAGCUGGGGGAGCAAACCGGAUUAGAUACCCGGGUAGUCCCAGCCGUAAACGAUGUGCGUUAGGUGUAUCGGUGACCACGAGUCACCGAGGUGCCGAAGGGAAACCGUGAAACGUACCGCCUGGGAAGUACGGUCGCAAGGCUGAAACUUAAAGGAAUGGGCGGGGAGGCAC